Molecule: unclassified non-coding RNA, 175 nt
Filed under: uncultured Sebacina
Lineage: Eukaryota; Fungi; Basidiomycota; Agaricomycetes; Sebacinales; Sebacinaceae
Description: sequence contains ITS1
Source: RNAcentral
AUGAUUGCGAAUGGUUGCCUUCAGUGCUGGCUCACCAGAGCAAGUGCACGUUGGUGGCUUUCAUCCAAUUCCACACCCUGUGAACCUUUGGCCUCUUGCUGGCUUCGGCCUGCAGAGGAUUUUAACAUAUACACGAAUGUACUGAAAACUAUUGUUGUGCGCAAGCACUAAUAUA